Papaver somniferum (opium poppy) is the source of this 1676-nucleotide long non-coding RNA. RefSeq lists it as uncharacterized. Lineage: Eukaryota; Viridiplantae; Streptophyta; Magnoliopsida; Ranunculales; Papaveraceae. The record is from RefSeq and is a predicted model, not a curated record. The transcript has 4 exons.
CCUCUUUCUCUCCUCUUUGUCUCUCUUACUUUCUCAUAGAACCCUAUACGGACAAAUCCAUAGCCCUAAUUAAUUUUUCCAUCUACUCAUCCACUUCCUCUGUAUGUGAUUUUAAUCGAUUGAUUUGAAACUGUAGCUGUUGCUGCUGCUUAUUAGGUUCUCCCUUCCAACUCUAUCUCAAGAUUAGGCCAAAGACAUCUAUCAGUACCAUCUCUGGCGCUGUUGCCGCAACUGCCAAGGGCCAAGACCACCUCAAUCACCUCCAUUUGAGGGGCAUUCAGCUUUAGUGGAUGUGUUUGGUACGUCAAUGAAAACUUCUGCAACUCAGGGAGGUAGGUAUUCCUUUCUUUUUCCUACCAUGUUUUGAAGCUAGAUUUGUCGAUGCUUUAUUUUUUCAUUUCUUAACUACGUUAAAGUUAAUAGACCAAACUAGCCAUGCAAUUACAGUGAGCAAGGUGACAAUAAGUUUAACAAAUCUCAUUCAGAUGUUCAUCAAAUGUGGACGUAGUAUGCACAAUAUCAACUCCAAUUUCUAAAUUUCAUUGUCGACAAUACAAAAUUCUUAAAUGUUGUUUUAGUUUUGCAUCGUGGGUUAUAUGUUUCCCUAUUCAUAUGUUAGACAAAUAUCAUUCUUCUUAUUUAGUGAAUUAGUUUUCGUAUGUGGUUUGUGUUAGAUGACAUGAUCUGUUAAGUGGAAAUAGUAUUAUAUUUGUCAUUAAGUAGCUUACUUAAGAUAGUUAUUACGAGAAAUGAAUCUUUUAAAUGAACUCACAAUGAAUAGUCCUUACAUUUCUAAAGGGUAAAUGCUCUCAAUUACGUCGAUGAAUAUGGCUUAAUUUGUUUAUCUAUCGUGACUACUCUUGCCGGUAUUGGGCUGUUCAGGGUCAAUGUUUAUUUAAACAUAACUAUUUUUAGAAAUUGACUGAACAAGUUCAGUUUGAGUUGCCAAAGAAAUGAUACAAUGGUGGGCAGGAACCAGUAUUAGUUCCAAGAUGGCGGCUGCAUCAACAAUUCUUGGAGUGCAGGUGUAGCUUACAGCAAAGCAAAAUAUAGAAGAAUACAAUGGAAAAGUAAAUCUUCUAUAACAUCAAAUUUACCCCACCUAGCACGGAGUAUUUAUUGGGAGCGUUUGGGCAGCCAACUCUAUAGGCAGACAACAGAUACUAAAAAGCAAAAUGGCGGAAGCAGAUGGAAUGGUGGCUUCUGACGCAACAAUAAUUAUGAAACCUAACUGAAUUGGGUUAGUGUUUUUACAUCUAAUAUUUACUGCUUUUUGAAGCAUCUAUGAUUAGGUAACAAUACUAACCCGAUAUCAGUUGGAAAAAGAAAGACCACACGACCAGUUAUUUGUAUGUUAGGAACUGAGUAAGUUGACAUUCGUCAUUACUCUUAUGGUAUUAUAUGUGGAACAAGAUUGAGAGGUAAUAAACAUGAACUCUAUAAACAAUCCGGACAUAAUGUUUCAGAGUCAAGGAGUUAAAGAGACUGUCUUAGAAGAAUUAGGUGGAGGUUGUGAGAUGGAAGGUGUUCGGGUCAAUAUAUUUGAGGUGGAGCCUGUGAGAACCAUACACAAAAAUGUCAAACAACAGUGAUUUGAGAUGGGAUUAACUGGAGUUCCAGUAGGAAUUUAAUUUACUCCUAAAUUAUAUACUACUCAAUGAAAUUUAUAGUUUGUA